Molecule: ribosomal RNA, 302 nt
Filed under: uncultured Coprococcus sp.
Lineage: Bacteria; Bacillati; Bacillota; Clostridia; Lachnospirales; Lachnospiraceae
Description: bacterial SSU rRNA
Rfam family: Bacterial small subunit ribosomal RNA
Source: RNAcentral
GAUGAACGCUGGCGGCGUGCUUAACACAUGCAAGUCGAACGAGCAACUUCGGUUGCGAGUGGCGGACGGGUGAGUAACGCGUGGGUAACCUACCUUAUACAGGGGGAUAACAGCGGGAAACUGCUGUUAAUACCGCAUAAGCGCACGGAAUCGCAUGAUUCAGUGUGAAAAGCUCCGACGGUAUAAGAUGGACCCGCGUCUGAUUAGCUAGUUGGUGAGGUAACGGCCCACCAAGGCGACGAUCAGUAGCCGACUUGAGAGAGUGACCGGCCACAUUGGGACUGAGACACGGCCCAAACUCC